This 301-nucleotide ribosomal RNA is filed under the name uncultured bacterium. RNAcentral describes it as "partial 16S ribosomal RNA". It matches the Rfam family "Bacterial small subunit ribosomal RNA", at positions 509 to 807 of the family's 1533-position model. The record is from RNAcentral.
CAGCCGCCGCGGGAAUACAGAGGGUGCGAGCGUUAAUCGGAUUUACUGGGCGUAAAGCGUGCGUAGGCGGCUAAUUGAGUCGGAUGUGAAAUCCCUGAGCUUAACUUAGGAAUUGCAUUCGAUACUGGGAAGCUAGAGUAUGGGAGAGGAUGGUAGAAUUCCAGGUGUAGCGGUGAAAUGCGUAGAGAUCUGGAGGAAUACCGAUGGCGAAGGCAGCCAUCUGGCCUAAUACUGACGCUGAGGUACGAAAGCAUGGGGAGCAAACAGGAUUAGAUACCCGGGUAGUCCCUGUCUCUUAUAC